This 450-nucleotide ribosomal RNA is filed under the name uncultured bacterium. RNAcentral's name for it is "bacterial SSU rRNA". It matches the Rfam family "Bacterial small subunit ribosomal RNA", at positions 330 to 795 of the family's 1533-position model. The record is from RNAcentral.
CACAGACUCCUACGGGAGGCAGCAGUGGGGGAUAUUGCACAAUGGGGGAAACCCUGAUGCAGCGACGCCGCGUGGGCGAAGAAGUAUUUCGGUAUGUAAAGCCCUAUCAGCAGGGAAGAAGAAAUGACGGUACCUGAGUAAGAAGCACCGGCUAAAUACGUGCCAACAGCCGCGGUAAUACGUAUGGUGCAAGCGUUAUCCGGAUUUACUGGGUGUAAAGGGAGCGCAGGCGACACGGCAAGCCUGAUGUGAAAGCCCGCGGCCCAACCGCGGGACUGCAUUGGGAACUACCGGGCUGGAGUGCCGGAGAGGUAGGCGGAAUUCCUAGUGUAGCGGUGAAAUGCGUAGAUAUCAGGAGGAACACCGGUGGCGAAGGCGGCCUGCUGGACUGCAACUGACGUUGAGGCCCGAAAGCGUGGGGAGCAAACAGGAUUAGAUACCCCAGUAUCC